Molecule: long non-coding RNA, 297 nt
Filed under: Mytilus galloprovincialis (Mediterranean mussel)
Lineage: Eukaryota; Metazoa; Mollusca; Bivalvia; Mytilida; Mytilidae
Source: RNAcentral
GUUCAUAUAUAUAUAUUUAUUAUAAACAAGUUCACUAUAUAUAUACUUUCAUUAAAUUACAUUGUUAAUACAGAGACACGUCCAUUCUCUUUCACUAACUAUCUUCAAUUGUCCCGCAUCUACACAUUCACUCACUUUUAUCAUCACCAAGGCCCUGACUACUUUUAUGACUUUCUCACACAUUAAAUCGUCAUUCAUUUCCAGACCACACAACUAUAGGGACAGAAUAUAAACAAACAGAGACAUAAAUUCUACGGCUUCUAAUUAGAAAUGAUUACAGUUAAAACACAACUGCAU